CCCAGCCCUUUUAGUUUUUUUAUUUUGAGACAGGGACUCACUAARUUUCUGAGGCUGGCCUUGAACUUGUGAUCCUCCUGCAUCAGUUUCCCCAGUGGCUGGGAUUACAGGUAUGCACUACCACAAGUGGCUAGCCCAAGACUUCUGAGCUGGUGAUAGCCAAGGCAGCCUGAUCAGGAACUUGGGAGGCCAUGACUCUGGCCAUAAGGCAGUUGGCAUGCCUCUGACAGGUGGGGUAUUUGUUUCUUUAGGCAAGGGCACUGGCUGGUGGAAGCCACCUACCACCCUGGCACUGGAUAACCAACAACCCUGGAGAGAGAGCCUCCUAGAGACCAGAAGAGGGAGGCGGCAGGCAGCCCUGRCAGCAGAACUCCUCCCCUUCACCCACCCUUCCCCAGAGCCUUCCAACAGCCUGCCGACCCAGUUUCCCCCAACCCAGAGACGUUUCCUGGAGACAUCCAGAAAGGGAGGGGAAAACAGUGCCUUCUCCUGGGAGCAGACCCCCAAGUCACCCACAGCCAGCACUGAAAGCCACCAGGUAAAACUCUUGACACCGCCUGGCUCAGUCACCUCCUUCAACAGAAGGGGAAAGAGCGCCACAGAGAGGAGAGGGGCCUGGCGUGAAGUCACUUGCCAACUGGCGACAGAACCAAGACUCCCAAACGGCUUCCCCCAUCUCCCCUGGGAUCCAGUGUGAAGGAGCCUUUCAUGGGGUAAGUGAAAUAGGGGCCAGAGAGCCCCUUCUCAGUGAGGCCCUCGCUUGAAGGAAACAGGGGAUGGGACAAGUGCUGCCUGCCAGCCCAGAAGUGGGCAAGACUCAAACGAAGUGUUCCCGGGGCCAGAGAGCCAGGAGGAAGGGCACCCUGCCUGGACCUCUGCCCCUYCCCACAGCUCAGCAGUACCACCUCCUCCUCCAGGAAGCCUGCCCAGCUCCCCCAGGGAUUGGAACCUCUCUGUCCUCUAAGCCCUUGACAGUCCUUUCAUGGGGUCUUUCUUGACCCUCUUAGGUCUGCCUUCCUCUCUGUCAGCCUGACUUUGCCAUACCAGGGCAAGUAUUGUGUCAGAUUUGAUCCCAUCUCCCUCUGCAUGUAGAUGAGGCUCUUGCUCUGCUGUAUGGACAGAUGUGGUGAUGAGAUCUUGUCCCAAAACCAGAGACUGGGACAUGGGUCAAGAGAUGAGACAUCUGUAUAGAGGUCAACAGUGAGGGACCCGGGGUUGGCCGUUCUGAGUGAGGAAUCCCAGUUGCAGGUCCUUGCUCUCUGCCUUUGGAAAAUUCCAUUCCCAUGGAGCCUCAGGGUGUCCACAAGGAUUUGCACAAUUAAAGCAUUUCAAUAAAUGACCAUUCUUAUUAUAGUCA
RNAcentral lists this long non-coding RNA (1357 nucleotides) under Urocitellus parryii (Arctic ground squirrel). RNAcentral's name for it is "lncRNA (ENSUPAG00010013382.1)". Lineage: Eukaryota; Metazoa; Chordata; Mammalia; Rodentia; Sciuridae. The record is from RNAcentral.